GGCUUUAUAGUCAAUAAUGAUAUUAGACUGCAAUUCUAAAGUAAUAAUUUAAUUUAUUAAAGCU
Molecule: transfer RNA, 64 nt
Filed under: Anopheles sp. NFL-2015
Lineage: Eukaryota; Metazoa; Arthropoda; Insecta; Diptera; Culicidae
Description: tRNA-Cys
Source: RNAcentral